AUACGUAGGGGCCUGACGUUGUUCGGAAUCAUUGGGCGUAAAGGGCGCGCAGGCGGCCGUCCAAGUCCGGUGUUAAAUGGUCGGGCUCAACCCGAUCAUGCGCUGGAAACUGGGCGGCUUGAGUCCCGUAGGGGAUGCCGGAAUUCCAGGUGUAGGGGUGAAAUCUGUAGAUAUCUGGAAGAACACCGAUGGCGAAGGCAUGCAUCUGGCCGGAGGCUGACGCGGUGGCGCGAAGGCGCGCGGAGAGAACAGGUUUAGAUGCCCUGGUAGGCCGCGCAGUAGACGAUGCUCACCGGGUGUCGGGCAGCAGCGCCCGGUACCGUAGCUAACGUGAUGAGUGCGACGCCUGGGGAGUAUGCCCUCAAGGCGGAGACUGAAAUGAAUUGACGGGG
RNAcentral lists this ribosomal RNA (392 nucleotides) under uncultured bacterium. RNAcentral describes it as "partial 16S ribosomal RNA". It matches the Rfam family "Bacterial small subunit ribosomal RNA", at positions 523 to 918 of the family's 1533-position model. The record is from RNAcentral.